UACGUAGGGUGCGAGCGUUAAUCGGAAUUACUGGGCGUAAAGCAUGCGCAGGCGGCUUCGCAAGUCAGGCGUGAAAUCCCCGGGCUUAACCUGGGAAUGGCGUCUGAAACUACGGAGCUGGAGUGUGGCAGAGGGAGGUAGAAUUCCACGUGUAGCGGUGAAAUGCGUAGAUAUGUGGAGGAAUACCGAUGGCGAAGGCAGCCUCCUGGGCCAACACUGACGCUCAUGCACGAAAGCGUGGGGAGCAAACAGG
Molecule: ribosomal RNA, 253 nt
Filed under: uncultured bacterium
Lineage: Bacteria
Description: partial 16S ribosomal RNA
Rfam family: Bacterial small subunit ribosomal RNA
Source: RNAcentral